AUGGCGGUCGGCCACGGUUUUGAGGCGCAGCUGUGCGUCCCACCGCACCACCUGCGGGUGACGGCGCACAACUCGGAGGACUUCUUCGUCAUCUUCACCCAGCCUGCCCACCACGACAACGCGGUGCGCCGCGGCACCCUGCGCGUCGACGGCGUCAACUUCAACAUCGCGCCAUGGGGCGAAAACGACCACGCGGGCCACGGCAUCUUCAACCUCCACGUCCGCUGCGUCAUCGAGCACCUGCCUCAGCAGUACUGGACCCUGGAGGGCGUCCAAGAAGUGUUCGGCGACAAGGUGCGCAUCGACCGCCUCGACAGCCGCACGCUGGAGCGGGACCACACCAAAACCUUCGCGUGCUGGGUGUGGCUCUGGGACAUGGCGUUCAUCCCCACCCGGCACACCUACUGGAAGCUCCCUCGGGGCGCCGGCCGUGUCGAGGAGAUGGAGGGCCAUUCGCCGCCCGAUCGCCGUGUCGCCCUGCCGCCCGGCGCCGAAUGCUACGACCUGCUCAUCCACGUCGACAGGGUGGAGGACUGGUCCCCCCGCUCACCGCGCUCCUCCCACUCAGCUCAGAGCGGCCUGCCCUCCUCCAACUCCGACCACGACGACAACUUGCCGCGCACCUUCCCAGGCACCUGGGUCAUGCAUGUGGAGGACGGCCAGACUGAGGAACGUCACCGCCGUCUGCAGCGCGCGCCGGUGGUGGACACGGGCUGCCGCGGUCUUCCUCGUGGCGGCCCCCGCCGCGAUGAUGACGGGACGGGAGGAGGAGGCGGCGGCCAUCGCUCCUGGAAGGACACGCUGAUUGGGCGCGGGUACGGCUCCAACGCCUCGUCAGGAGCGGACGGGGCCACUAGCAGAGUGCGCCAGCGUAGCCUCUCCCCUCCCCCCUCGCUCCGGAAGCUCCAGAAAUCCCAGCCAGCAUGGUGGCCGUGA
This 936-nucleotide ribosomal RNA is filed under the name Triticum aestivum (bread wheat). RNAcentral's name for it is "partial small subunit ribosomal RNA". Lineage: Eukaryota; Viridiplantae; Streptophyta; Magnoliopsida; Poales; Poaceae. The record is from RNAcentral.